Molecule: non-coding RNA, 384 nt
Organism: Paramuricea clavata
Lineage: Eukaryota; Metazoa; Cnidaria; Anthozoa; Malacalcyonacea; Plexauridae
Source: the annotation of a GenBank genome assembly
UGCAUUUUUUAUUUUUUGAACGAUUUGUCAACAAAUAAUACAAUUUCGCUUGGCUUUGAAAGACAAAGGCCAUAAAUCGCUAGAAUACUGUUGUAAGUUGUUUAGUAAUACAUUUGAUCCGUAGGUACAAUUUCUCAUUCGUAUAAGUACAAUUUCUUACGCUGAAUCGAACGGUGGUAUUUUUAUUCUUUAAUAGUGCGCCAUUAAUUAGGCAAUACAAAUACAAGGAAACGUACUGUACUGCAGCGAUUUGUCAAAUACAAUUUCGCUUGAUUUUCAAAGGCCAUAAAUCGCUAGAAUACUGGUGUUUAGUAAUACAUUUGGCAUCCGUAAGUACAAUUUCUUACGCUGAAUCGAACGGUGGUGUUUUUAUUCUUAUUGCGC